RNAcentral lists this ribosomal RNA (1533 nucleotides) under Triticum aestivum (bread wheat). RNAcentral describes it as "partial small subunit ribosomal RNA". The record is from RNAcentral. Lineage: Eukaryota; Viridiplantae; Streptophyta; Magnoliopsida; Poales; Poaceae.
AUGGCGGAAACCCAACACACCCAGCUCGUGUGCUACACUUUGCUCUGCAUCCUUAUCAUGGCCAUACUCGUCAAGCUCAAGCACAUGCGAGCCUCUGCUAGCCGCCUGAACCUGCCUCCCGGCCCAUGGGUGCUGCCGGUGAUCGGCCACAUGCACCUGCUGCUCGGCGCCAUUCCGUACCAGGCCAUGCACAGGCUCGCUCGUCAGCACGGCCCCGUCAUGCUUCUCCGCCUUGGCCACGUCCCGACGCUCGUGCUCUCCUCCGCGGAGGCGGCCAGGGAGGUCAUGAAGGUGCACGACGCCGCCUUCGCCAACCGCCCCGUGUAUGCCACGGCAGACAUCUUCACCUACGGCGGCGAGGACAUCUCCUUCGCGCGCCACGACAGCUGGCACUGGAAGGCCCUCCGGAAGCUCUGCGCCGUGGAGCUGCUGAGCCUGAGGCGCGUCCGGUAGUUCCGCCAUGUCCGGGAGGAGGAGGCGGCGAGGCUUGUGCUGUCCGUCGCCGGCGCCGGUCGCAUCGUCAACGUCGGUGACAUGCUAAAGGUAAUGAUGAACGACGUGGUCAUGAGGGCGUCCGUGGGCGACAGGUGCGUGCAGCGGGACGCGUACCUGGAGGAGCUGGACAGGGUGUUGGACCUCAUGUCCGGGUUUAACCUCAUCGACCUGUUCCCGGCGUCGCGCCUCGUCCGGGCGAUCGGUGGCCGGGCUCUCGGGGCGACGUGGGAGGUACACCGGAGGAUCCACUCCAUCAUGGACGCCAUGAUCAGCGAUCACAGAACGGCUAUGGAGGGCGAGGACGACAAUGAUGCCGGAUGUGAGCAGAGGGGUGACAUACUCACUACUCUGCUCCGGUUCCAGAUGGACGGCGGGAUUGGCGGCGUCGCCCUCACCAAUGAAAACAUCAGCGGCGUCCUCUUUGAUCUUUUCGCUGCAGGGUCGGAGACGACAGCCACGACAACAAUCUGGGCAAUGUCUGAGCUGAUGAGGAGCCCACACAUAAUGGCCGCCGCUCAGUCCGAAGUCCGGCGAGUCCUCCAUGGCAAGACCGAGGUGACUGAGGCCGACAUCGACGGCCGGCUCCACUACCUACAAAUGGUCAUCAAGGAGACCUUUAGGUUGCAUCCACCGGUGCCGCUACUCAUGCCGAGGCUUUGCACUGAGCAAACAAAGGUCAUGGGCUAUGAUAUUCCACAGGGCACCACUGUAUUCGUGAAUGUGUCGACAAUCGGUAGGGACGAGAAGAGCUGGACUAACGCGAGCGAGUUCAUGCCCAAGAGGUUUGACGGUGAAAAGGUUGAUUAUGGUGGUACGGACUUUAGGUUCCUCCCAGAUGGCGCUGGACGGAGAAUGUGCCCCGGUAUGAUGUUUGGAGUGUCAAACAUCGAAAUGGCUCUUGCAAGCCUUCUCUAUCACUUCGACUGGAAGCUUCCUGAAGGUGGGAACCCGGAGACGCUUGAUAUGAGUGAAGCGUAUGGGAUCACGGCUCGUCGUAGGACCGAGCUUGUGUUGGAAGCUACUGUUUUUGUUCCUUAA